AGUGAUGGCGCAGGCCUAACACAUGCAGUCGAGCGCGCCCUUCGGGGUGAGCGGCGGACGGGUUAGUAACGCGUGGGAACGUGCCCAGAUCUAAGGAAUAGCCACUGGAAACGGUGAGUAAUACCUUAUACGCCCUUCGGGGGAAAGAUUUAUCGGAUUUGGAUCGGCCCGCGUUAGAUUAGGUAGUUGGUGGGGUAAUGGCCUACCAAGCCUACGAUCUAUAGCUGGUUUUAGAGGAUGAUCAGCAACACUGGGACUGAGACACGGCCCAGACUCCUACGGGAGGCAGCAGUGGGGAAUCUUGGACAAUGGGGGCAACCCUGAUCCAGCCAUGCCGCGUGAGUGAUGAAGGCCUUAGGGUCGUAAAGCUCUUUCGCCUGUGAUGAUAAUGACAGUAGCAGGUAAAGAAACCCCGGCUAACUCCGUGCCAGCAGUCGCGGUAAUACGGAGGGGGUUAGCGUUGUUCGGAAUUACUGGGCGUAAAGCGCGCGUAGGCGGAUUAGUCAGUUAGAGGUGAAAUCCCAGGGCUCAACCCUGGAACUGCCUUUAAUACUGCUAGUCUUGAGUUCGAGAGAGGUGAGUGGAAUUCCGAGUGUAGAGGUGAAAUUCGUAGAUAUUCGGAGGAACACCAGUGGCGAAGGCGGCUCGCUGGCUCGAUACUGACGCUGAGGUGCGAAAGUGUGGGGAGCAAACAGGAUUAGAUACCCUGGUAGUCCACACCGUAAACGAUGAAUGCCAGUCGUCGGCAAGCAUGCUUGUCGGUGACACACCUAACGGAUUAAGCAUUCCGCCUGGGGAGUACGGCCGCAAGAUUAAAACUCAAAUGAAUUUGACGG
Molecule: ribosomal RNA, 836 nt
Filed under: uncultured bacterium
Lineage: Bacteria
Description: bacterial SSU rRNA
Rfam family: Bacterial small subunit ribosomal RNA
Source: RNAcentral